Sesamum indicum (sesame) is the source of this 161-nucleotide non-coding RNA. Lineage: Eukaryota; Viridiplantae; Streptophyta; Magnoliopsida; Lamiales; Pedaliaceae. The record is from RefSeq and is a predicted model, not a curated record.
CACCUCGAUGGCCAUACUGAUAUAAUACACGUUCAACUGUAUAACCAUUGGCUACCAUGGGCAACGAAACGAAGAGACUUUCUCCUGCGACGUUAUUGGAGAAGAGAAGAUGAUGGCACAUACGUGAUUCUGUACCAUUCCGUGGUCCACAAAAAGUGUCC